Molecule: ribosomal RNA, 402 nt
Filed under: bacterium enrichment culture clone OZDCA245
Lineage: Bacteria
Description: bacterial SSU rRNA
Rfam family: Bacterial small subunit ribosomal RNA
Source: RNAcentral
GAGUUUGAUCGUGGCUCAGAUUGAACGCUGGAGGCGUGCUUAACACAUGCAAGUCGCGCGAGAAAGGGACUUCGGUCCUGAGUAGAGCGGCGCACGGGUGAGUAACGCGUGGGUGAUCUCCCCUGGUGAUCGGGAUAACAGCUGGAAACGGCUGCUAAUACCGGAUAAUCUUCAUGUUUAGCUUCAUGGGGUAAAGGUGGCCUCUGCUUGCAAGCUACCACAUCAGGAUGAGCCCGCGUCUCAUUAGCUAAGUUGGUGGGGUAACGGCCUACCAAGGCGACGAUGAGUAGCUGGUCUGAGAGGAUGACCAGCCACACUGGGACUGGAACACGGCCCAGACUCCUACGGGAGGCAGCGAGUGGGGAAUAUUGCGCAAUGGCGAAAGCCUGACGCAGCGACGCC